UGGAAACUACCAAUGGGGUUGCUC
RNAcentral lists this non-coding RNA (24 nucleotides) under Arabidopsis thaliana (thale cress). The record is from RNAcentral. Lineage: Eukaryota; Viridiplantae; Streptophyta; Magnoliopsida; Brassicales; Brassicaceae.